This 200-nucleotide unclassified non-coding RNA is filed under the name Preussia sp. (in: ascomycete fungi). Its description in RNAcentral is "Preussia sp. (in: Fungi) partial internal transcribed spacer 2". Lineage: Eukaryota; Fungi; Ascomycota; Dothideomycetes; Pleosporales; Sporormiaceae. The record is from RNAcentral.
UUAAGUUCAGCGGGUAUCCCUACCUGAUCCGAGGUCAAAAUGGUUAGAAUAGCUUAUGGGAGCCACUCCGCCGGGCCACGAGUUCGCGUUUCUGCUGCGCUCGUAGCCGACGUGAGGGCCGCCAAUAGAUUUGAGGUGAGUCCACACGCGGAGGCGGGACAGACACCCAACACCAAGCAGUGCUUGAAGGUUUAGAUGAC